This 313-nucleotide unclassified non-coding RNA is filed under the name Hypholoma lateritium. RNAcentral describes it as "partial internal transcribed spacer region". The stretch from base 1 to 46 matches the Rfam family "Eukaryotic small subunit ribosomal RNA", at positions 1786 to 1831 of the family's 1831-position model. Lineage: Eukaryota; Fungi; Basidiomycota; Agaricomycetes; Agaricales; Strophariaceae. The record is from RNAcentral.
AAGUCGUAACAAGGUUUCCGUAGGUGAACCUGCGGAAGGAUCAUUAUUGAAUGAACUUGACUUGGUUGCUGCUGGUCUUUUCGAAGGCAUGUGCACACUUUGUCAUCUUUAUAUCUCCACCUGUGCACCUUUUGUAGACCUGAAACCAAAUUUCCGAGGCAACUCGGUCGUGAAGAAAUGCUUAACAGCUUUCCUUGUUGGGUUCCAGGGCUAUGUUUUCAUAUACACCAUAAGAAUGUAACAGAAUGUCAUUAUUAGGCUUAGUUGCCUUAUAAACUAUAUACAACUUUCAGCAACGGAUCUCUUGGCUCUC